GCUCUUCUAGCAUAUAUUAAAGUUGCUGCAGUUAAAACGCUCGUAGUUUGAAUUAUUUCGGCACUUGGCGGCAGGACGAUUUAAUUUGUCCGGCAGUCAGGGGGCCGAAUUAAAGCUCGGGGUGGAGGCGAUUAAUUUCUCUUCAUCCAGAUAACCUUGAAAAAAUAUUGUCGCUCAAAAAAGGACGGAAAAGUCUAUUG
This 200-nucleotide ribosomal RNA is filed under the name uncultured eukaryote. RNAcentral's name for it is "partial 18S ribosomal RNA". The record is from RNAcentral.